Molecule: ribosomal RNA, 1431 nt
Filed under: Triticum aestivum (bread wheat)
Lineage: Eukaryota; Viridiplantae; Streptophyta; Magnoliopsida; Poales; Poaceae
Description: partial small subunit ribosomal RNA
Source: RNAcentral
AUGUCGGCGAGGCGGCAUUUCGCUGUGUUCACCACGGCGAGCCUCCCGUGGAUGACGGGGACUUCCAUCAACCCGCUGUUCCGGGCGGCCUACCUUGCCAAGGAUGGGAGUAGAGACGUCACCUUGGUGAUCCCCUGGCUUUCUCUAAGGGACCAAGAGUUGGUUUACCCAAACAAGAUUGUGUUCGAUUCGCCGUUGGAGCAAGAGGGUUUUGUUCGUCGCUGGAUUGAGGAGAGGGUCGACUUCAGGCCAUCAUUCAGCAUCAAAUUCUACCCUGCUAAGUUUUCUAAAGAAAUGAGAAGCAUUCUACCUGUUGGGGAUAUCACAGAAUGCAUUCCAGAUGAAAUGGCCGAUAUUGCUGUUCUAGAGGAGCCUGAGCAUCUAAAUUGGUACCACCAUGGGCGAAGAUGGAAAAAUAAGUUCAGGCGAGUGAUAGGUGUGAUCCACACAAACUAUCUAGCAUAUGUGAGAAGAGAAAAGAAUGGACAAGUGAUUGCCUGUUGCCUCAGAUAUGCAAACACUUGGGUUACCCGAAUUUAUUGCCACAAGAUAAUCAGACUAUCAGGUGCCACUCAAGAUUUACCCAAAUCUGUUGUAUGCAAUAUCCAUGGUGUGAAUCCAAAAUUUCUUGAGGUUGGCAGGCUAAAAUUGAAGCAGCUGCAGAAUGGAGAGGCAGCCUUCACAAAAGGGGCAUACUACAUUGGGAAGAUGGUGUGGAGUAAGGGUUAUAGGGAGCUUCUUGACCUUCUGUCCAAAUAUCAGAGCAGGUUAGGUGAUCUUGAAGUAGAUUUAUAUGGUAGUGGAGAAGAUUCAGAUGAAAUCCGAGAAUCUGCAGAGCGCUUAAGUUUGGCUGUAAACGUUCACCCUGGCCGUGAUCAUGCAGAUCCAUUAUUCCAUGACUAUAAAGUAUUCAUCAACCCCAGCACAACAGAUGUGGUCUGCACGACCUCAGCUGAGGCCCUUGCAAUGGGAAAAAUUGUUAUAUGUGCCAAUCACCCUUCCAAUGAGUUCUUCAAGCAGUUCCCCAACUGCCGUAUCUACAACAACGAUGAAGAGUUUGUACAACUCACACUGAAUGCUCUAGCAGAGCAGCCUACUCCAUUAACAGAUAUGCAGAUGUAUGACUUGUCAUGGGAGGCAGCAACCGACAGAUUCAUGGAGGCUGCUGAGAUGAACCUUCCUACAGCAGAGCCAAGAAUCCAGCAAGCGUCCAAGACAUACUUCCCUACUUUUCUAAGGACUCGUAAACUGAAGCAAAGUUUGGAGGAUGCAUCAGUAUACCUGCACCAAGCACUCUCAGGGCUGGAGGUCACCCGUUGCGCCUUUGGUGCUGUUCCAAAGACGCUGCAACCAGAUGAGCAGCUUCGCAAAGAUCUUGGCUUGGCUUCUCCCCCAAAGAGAAAAAAGCAGAAACAAAAGCUGAUGACGUGA